This 417-nucleotide ribosomal RNA is filed under the name uncultured bacterium. RNAcentral's name for it is "bacterial SSU rRNA". It matches the Rfam family "Bacterial small subunit ribosomal RNA", at positions 355 to 768 of the family's 1533-position model. The record is from RNAcentral.
UGAGGAAUAUUGGUCAAUGGGCGCAAGCCUGAACCAGCCAUCCCGCGUGCAGGAAGACGGCGCUAUGCGUUGUAAACUGCUUUUCCAGGGGGAGAAACUUGCGCACGUGUUGCGCAAUUGACGGUACCCUGGGAAUAAGCAUCGGCUAACUCCGUGCCAGCAGCCGCGGUAAUACGGAGGAUGCGAGCGUUAUCCGGAUUCAUUGGGUUUAAAGGGUGCGUAGGCGGACUAUUAAGUCAGUGGUGAAAUCCUGCAGCUUAACUGCAGAACUGCCAUUGAUACUGAUAGCCUUGAGUUUGGUUAAGGUAGGCGGAAUGUGUAAUGUAGCGGUGAAAUGCUUAGAUAUUACACAGAACACCAAUUGCGUAGGCAGCUUACUGAGCCGACACUGACGCUGAGGCACGAAAGCGUGGGGAU